This 145-nucleotide small nucleolar RNA is filed under the name Theropithecus gelada (gelada). RNAcentral's name for it is "Small nucleolar RNA SNORA75 (ENSTGEG00000004637.1)". Lineage: Eukaryota; Metazoa; Chordata; Mammalia; Primates; Cercopithecidae. The record is from RNAcentral.
CACGAUGCUCUUCAGUUUAGGGGCAAUUAACAUCACUACAGACUGGUGGCAGUUGAUGGAUUUGCACAAGAAGAGAGAACUCACAGAACUAGCACUAUUUACGCUGUCUUUACGGAGGUGUAUCUGGCUGUUUUGUCAGACAUUC